CAGUAGCCACGGUAAUACCAGCACCUCGAGUGGUCAGGAGGUUUAUUGGGCCUAAAGCAUCCGUAGCCGGUUGCAUAAGUUUUCGGUUAAAUCUAUGCGCUUAACGUAUAGGCCGCCGAAAAUACUGUGCAGCUAGGGAGUGGGAGAGGUACACGGUACUCGAUAGGAAGGGGUAAAAUCCUUUGAUCUAUUGAUGACCACCUGUGGCGAAGGCGGUGUACCAGAACACGUUCGACGGUAAGGGAUGAAAGCUGGGGGAGCAAACCGGAUUAGAUACCCGUGUAGUCCCUGUCUCUUAUAA
RNAcentral lists this ribosomal RNA (301 nucleotides) under uncultured bacterium. RNAcentral's name for it is "partial 16S ribosomal RNA". It matches the Rfam family "Archaeal small subunit ribosomal RNA", at positions 459 to 760 of the family's 1478-position model. The record is from RNAcentral.